Non-coding RNA from Kogia breviceps (pygmy sperm whale), 387 nucleotides. The record is from RefSeq and is a predicted model, not a curated record. Lineage: Eukaryota; Metazoa; Chordata; Mammalia; Artiodactyla; Physeteridae.
CGGGAAGCUCGGGCCGGCUGUUAGUUCCGCACUGGGUGGUCAGCUGACCCGGCGGAAGCCCGAGGCGCGGGCCGGGCGUCGGAACCUCGGCUCAGCUGUGCGCCCGCCGCCCGCCCUGGGCCGGGCCUCGCACAGGGAAAUGUUAAAUGUGAGGCUGGAAGUCAUCCACGGGGUCAGCUCCUCACACACACCUUUGCCUCGUUUGGAAGUGAGGGGUAGCCACUGCUGCCUCCUGUCUGGGUGAAGUUAGGCCCAGGGCACGGCUAAAUGGAAGCUCAUGCCUGUUCUCAACUGAAAGGACCCUCAUUUUCUCCGAGAUGCAAGCUGAAGAAAUUAAGAUAAACAUCAAGAUGUCUACAGCUUGCAAAUGGUUCAAGGGGAAAAAAG